AACAGAACUGAGAGAUCUUG
This 20-nucleotide unclassified non-coding RNA is filed under the name Dictyostelium discoideum. Lineage: Eukaryota; Evosea; Eumycetozoa; Dictyosteliales; Dictyosteliaceae. The record is from RNAcentral.